RNAcentral lists this ribosomal RNA (463 nucleotides) under uncultured Methanomicrobiales archaeon. RNAcentral describes it as "bacterial SSU rRNA". It matches the Rfam family "Archaeal small subunit ribosomal RNA", at positions 877 to 1338 of the family's 1478-position model. Lineage: Archaea; Methanobacteriati; Methanobacteriota; Methanomicrobia; Methanomicrobiales. The record is from RNAcentral.
CACCACAACAGAUGGAGCCUGCGGUUUAAUCGGACUCAACGCCGGGAAACUCACCAGAUAAGACAGCUGAAUGAUAGUCGGGCUGAAGACUCUACUUGACUAGCUGAGAGGAGGUGCAUGGCCGUCGUCAGUUCGUACUGUGAAGCAUCCUGUUAAGUCAGGCAACGAGCGAGACCCACGCCAACAGUUGCCAGCUCGUCCUCCGGGAUGGUGGGGACACUGUUGGGACCGCCUCUGCUAAAGAGGAGGAAGGAAUGGGCAACGGUAGGUCAGCAUGCCCCGAAUUAUCUGGGCUACACGCGGGCUACAAUGGGUGGGACAAUGGGUAUCGACACCGAAAGGUGAAGGCAAUCUCCUAAACCCAUCCGUAGUUCGGAUUGUGGGCUGCAACUCGCCCACAUGAAGCUGGAAUCUGUAGUAAUCGCGCAUCAGCCAUGGCGCGGUGAAUACGUUCCCGGGCCUU